GCCAUGUUUAGCUGGGACGUGCUUUAUAAGUGGGCACAUGAUAUGAGGAUUGAGUAGAAAUGGGCUAUUCCAUUUAAUAUCCGUACCCCCCUGUCGAGGAUACAUGUUUUUCAUUGUCAUACCCCUGAAGAAUUCCAAGCUCAAAACUGUUUACCCCUGAAGAAUUCCAAAAUUCCAAGCUCAAAACUCUUUACCCCUGAAGAAUUCCAAGCUCAAAACCUUUUAUCCCUGAAGAAUUCCAAAAUUCCAAGCUCAAAACCCUUUACCCCUGAAGAAUUCCAAGCUCAAAACCUUU
Molecule: non-coding RNA, 295 nt
Organism: Paramuricea clavata
Lineage: Eukaryota; Metazoa; Cnidaria; Anthozoa; Malacalcyonacea; Plexauridae
Source: the annotation of a GenBank genome assembly